This 408-nucleotide ribosomal RNA is filed under the name uncultured bacterium. RNAcentral describes it as "partial 16S ribosomal RNA". It matches the Rfam family "Bacterial small subunit ribosomal RNA", at positions 28 to 526 of the family's 1533-position model. The record is from RNAcentral.
GACGAACGCUGGCGGCGUGCUUAACACAUGCAAGUCGAACGAAGUGGCGAACGGGUGAGUAACGCGUAAUCAACCUGCCCUUCAGAGGGGGACAACAGUUGGAAACGACUGCUAAUACCGCAUAAGGAAGGAGGGGAUUGCGUCUUAUUAGCUAGUUGGAGGGGUAACGGCCCACCAAGGGGAGGAUCAGUAGCCGGUCUGAGAGGAUGAACGGCCACAGUGGGACUGGGACACGGCCCAGACUCCUACGGGAGGCAGCAGUGGGGAAUCUUCCGCAAUGGACGAAAGGCUGACGGAGCAACGCCGCGUGAGUGAUGACGGCCUUCGGGUUGUAAAGCUCUGUUAAUCGGGACGCGGUACCGGAAUAGAAAGCCACGGCUAACUACGUGCCAGCAGCCGCGGUAAUAC